UGGGGGAUAUUGCACAAUGGGCGCAAGCCUGAUGCAGCGACGCCGCGUGGGGGAUGAAGGCCUUCGGGUUGUAAACUUCUUUUGCUCUGAACAAGGCGCACUUUGGGGUGUGUUGAGUGUAGGGGUUGAUUAGCGCCGGCUAACUACGUGCCAGCAGCCGCGGUAAUACGUAGGGCGCGAGCGUUGUCCGGAAUUAUUGGGCGUAAAGGGCUUGUAGGUGGCUGGUUGCGUCUGUCGUGAAAGCUCAUGGCUUAACUGUGGGUUUGCGGUGGGUACGGGCUGGCUUGAGUGCAGUAGGGGAGGCUGGAAUUCCUGGUGUAGCGGUAGAAUGCGCAGAUAUCAGGAGGAAUACCGGUGGCGAAGGCGGGUCUCUGGGCUGUUACUGACACUGAGGAGCGAAAGCAUGGGGAGCGAACAGG
Molecule: ribosomal RNA, 419 nt
Filed under: bacterium
Lineage: Bacteria
Description: partial 16S ribosomal RNA
Rfam family: Bacterial small subunit ribosomal RNA
Source: RNAcentral